Molecule: ribosomal RNA, 253 nt
Filed under: uncultured bacterium
Lineage: Bacteria
Description: partial 16S ribosomal RNA
Rfam family: Bacterial small subunit ribosomal RNA
Source: RNAcentral
UACAUAGGGGCCAAGCGUUGCCCGGAUUUAUUGGGCGUAAAGAGCUCGUAGGCGGCCUGUCGCGUCGGUUGUGAAAGCCCGGGGCUUAACCCCGGGUCUGCAGUCGAUACGGGCAGGCUAGAGUUCGGUAGGGGAGAUCGGAAUUCCUGGUGUAGCGGUGAAAUGCGCAGAUAUCAGGAGGAACACCGGUGGCGAAGGCGGAUCUCUGGGCCGAUACUGACGCUGAGGAGCGAAAGCGUGGGGAGCGAACAGG